This 641-nucleotide ribosomal RNA is filed under the name Pleurotus pulmonarius. RNAcentral describes it as "eukaryotic LSU rRNA". The stretch from base 236 to 389 matches the Rfam family "5.8S ribosomal RNA". The record is from RNAcentral. Lineage: Eukaryota; Fungi; Basidiomycota; Agaricomycetes; Agaricales; Pleurotaceae.
CUGUGGAAUUCCUAUGGAGUUGUUGCUGGCCUCUAGGGGCAUGUGCACGCUUCACUAGUCUUUCAACCACCUGUGAACUUUUGAUAGAUCUGUGAAGUCGUCCUUCAAGUCGUCAGACUUGGUUUGCUGGGAUUUAAACGUCUCGGUGUGACAACGCAGUCUAUUUACUUAACACACCCCAAAUGUAUGUCUACGAAUGUCAUUUAAUGGGCCUUGUGCCUAUAAACCAUAAUACAACUUUCAACAACGGAUCUCUUGGCUCUCGCAUCGAUGAAGAACGCAGCGAAAUGCGAUAAGUAAUGUGAAUUGCAGAAUUCAGUGAAUCAUCGAAUCUUUGAACGCACCUUGCGCCCCUUGGUAUUCCGAGGGGCAUGCCUGUUUGAGUGUCAUUAAAUUCUCAAACUCACAUUUAUUUGUGAUGUUUGGAUUGUUGGGGGUUGCUGGCUGUAACAAGUCGGCUCCUCUUAAAUGCAUUAGCAGGACUUCUCAUUGCCUCUGCGCAUGAUGUGAUAAUUAUCACUCAUCAAUAGCACGCAUGAAUAGAGUCCAGCUCUCUAAUCGUCCGCAAGGACAAUUUGACAAUUUGACCUCAAAUCAGGUAGGACUACCCGCUGAACUUAAGCAUACAAGAUGCGACAGAA